Molecule: ribosomal RNA, 406 nt
Filed under: uncultured bacterium
Lineage: Bacteria
Description: partial 16S ribosomal RNA
Rfam family: Bacterial small subunit ribosomal RNA
Source: RNAcentral
AUUGAACGCUGGCGGCAGGCCUAACACAUGCAAGUCGGGCGAGCUGCGGACGGGUGAGUAAUGUAUUGGUAUCUGCCUGAUGGCGGGGGAUAACUACUGGAAACGGUAGCUAAUACCUCAUACCAUCAGAUGCACCCAUAUGGGAUUAGCUGGUAGGUAAGGUAACGGCUUACCUAGGCGACAAUCCCUCGCUGGUCUGAGAGGAUGAUAAGCCACAUUGGGACUGAGACACGGCCCAGGCGCCUAGGGGAGGGAGCAGUGGGGAAUAUUGAGCAAUGGGGGCAACCCUGACGCAGCCAUGACGCGUGAAUGAAGAAGGCCUGAGGGUUGUAAAGUUCUUUCGGUAGCGAGGCGUUAACUACAGAAGAAGCACCGGCUAACUCCGUGCCAGCAGCCGCGGUAAUAC